This 254-nucleotide ribosomal RNA is filed under the name uncultured bacterium. RNAcentral's name for it is "partial 16S ribosomal RNA". It matches the Rfam family "Bacterial small subunit ribosomal RNA", at positions 524 to 777 of the family's 1533-position model. The record is from RNAcentral.
UACGUAGGGGGCGAGCGUUGUCCGGAGUUACUGGGCGUAAAGCGCUUGUAGGCGGUCCACCAAGUUUGGGGUGACAGUUGCCGACUUAAUCGGCAAAGUGCCUCAAAGACUGGCGGACUUGAGGGCCACAGAGGGACAUGGAACUCCAGGUGUAGUGGUGAAAUGCGUAGAUAUCUGGAAGAACACCAAAGGCGAAGGCAGUGUCCUGGGUGGUCGCUGACGCUGAGAGGCGAAAGCCAGGGGAGCGAACGGGG